Molecule: transfer RNA, 74 nt
Filed under: Flavobacteriales bacterium
Lineage: Bacteria; Pseudomonadati; Bacteroidota; Flavobacteriia; Flavobacteriales
Description: tRNA-Ser
Rfam family: tRNA
About the family: Transfer RNA (tRNA) molecules are approximately 80 nucleotides in length.
Source: RNAcentral
AGAUCCGAAGCUCAACAAGGUUAGAGCGCUUGGCCACUGGUCAAGAGGUGCAGGUUCGAUUCCUGCCGGAUUAA